UACGUAGGGGGCAAGCGUUAUCCGGAUUUACUGGGUGUAAAGGGAGCGUAGACGGCAAGGCAAGUCUGAUGUGAAAACCCAGGGCUUAACCCUGGGACUGCAUUGGAAACUGUCUGGCUCGAGUGCCGGAGAGGUAAGCGGAAUUCCUAGUGUAGCGGUGAAAUGCGUAGAUAUUAGGAAGAAUACCAGUGGCGAAGGCGGCUUACUGGACGGUAACUGACGUUGAGGCUCGAAAGCGUGGGGAGCAAACAGG
Molecule: ribosomal RNA, 253 nt
Filed under: Fusicatenibacter saccharivorans
Lineage: Bacteria; Bacillati; Bacillota; Clostridia; Lachnospirales; Lachnospiraceae
Description: partial 16S ribosomal RNA
Rfam family: Bacterial small subunit ribosomal RNA
Source: RNAcentral